UCACCUUUGCCUCCUUUUGACAUGAUAUG
This 29-nucleotide non-coding RNA is filed under the name Mus musculus (house mouse). The record is from RNAcentral. Lineage: Eukaryota; Metazoa; Chordata; Mammalia; Rodentia; Muridae.